GACGAACGCUGGCGGCGUGCUUAACACAUGCAAGUCGAACGGAAAGGCCCUGCUUUUGUGCGGUUCUCGAUUGGCGAACGCGUGAAUAACACGUGUGUAACCUGCCCUUGACUUUGGGAUAACUUCAGGAAACUGGGGCUAAUAUCGGAUAGGAUCUCCUGCUCCAUGGUGGGGGUUGGAAAGUUUCGGCGGUUGGGGAUGGACUCGCGGCUUCUCAGCUUGUUGGUGGGGUAGUGGCUGACCAAGGCUUUGACGGGUAGCCGGCAUGAGAGGGUGACCGGCCACAAUGGGACUGAGAGACGGCGCAGACUGGUACGGGCGGCAGCAGUGGGGAAUAUGACACAGUGGGCGGAAGCGUGAUGCAGCAGCGCCGCGUGCGGAAAGACGUCUUUCUGGGUAAGAACAGCUGUCGCAUGUGACGAAGCGUGAGUGACGGUAAUGAGUAAAGAAGCACCGGCUAACUACGUG
Molecule: ribosomal RNA, 468 nt
Filed under: uncultured bacterium
Lineage: Bacteria
Description: partial 16S ribosomal RNA
Rfam family: Bacterial small subunit ribosomal RNA
Source: RNAcentral